CCCUACACUCUCAACACAUGCUGC
Molecule: non-coding RNA, 24 nt
Filed under: Arabidopsis thaliana (thale cress)
Lineage: Eukaryota; Viridiplantae; Streptophyta; Magnoliopsida; Brassicales; Brassicaceae
Source: RNAcentral